Long non-coding RNA from Populus nigra (black poplar), 767 nucleotides. RefSeq lists it as uncharacterized. NCBI's taxonomy places the organism in Eukaryota, Viridiplantae, Streptophyta, Magnoliopsida, Malpighiales, Salicaceae. The record is from RefSeq and is a predicted model, not a curated record. The transcript is spliced from 2 exons.
UCCACUACCGAUGACAAACAAUACCUUAAAUUUAUAUUGCAGUUAAUGUAUGGACCCACUUCUUUUUUUCCCCAUUUGUGUUUUGCCAAGCAACCCUGAGUUUGUGGGUUACAUCACCAUCAAAACACACGACCAAACACGAAAGAAAAACAAACAAACUCGUCAUUUUCACUAAUGGAAGAAGCCUCAAGGCAAUCAUGGUGUCCACAAGGGCAGUCAAAGAAAGCACUCAUGAUUCCCUCUUGAAAAACUGCAUGGUGAUCGCAUAAGGGGAGUUUAUAUAGUUAUGGCCCUAAUUGGGAUUGGCUUUGGUUCAAUGUUUCUACGAACACCUUGUCUUUCUGAUUCAGAUAUGGUGUUUCUUCUUAAUGGGUGUAGGGAAUAGGAAUUAUUACUUCAAUCAUUUUGGGGUGGAAAAUGAUGGCUAAGGAGAUGCUGCAGUAGGGCACACCCUUUUGUUUUCCUCAUAUCAAGUUACUCACGGUUAAAUCCUCUUGUUAAUUUUUUUUUACAGCUUGUUAUCAGCAGCCACCCACCCACCUUGCCUUGUCCAAACCAUUGCUGAGGAUUCUGUAUUUCUUUAAUGUACGAACAUGAAAGGAAAGGAAGGAAUGUCCUGCUAAUUAAUGCCAGGCCACAAGAGAAAGAAGGAGUUGAGGCCUGUUUCCUCUACUGAUGACAAACAAUAGCAAUUGAUAUCUAUUGUAUGAAAAUUUGUUUCCAAGUUGGGUCACUGCUGGAUCAAAGAUUUGCAGUUAAUGUGUCCA